RNAcentral lists this ribosomal RNA (253 nucleotides) under uncultured bacterium. RNAcentral describes it as "partial 16S ribosomal RNA". It matches the Rfam family "Bacterial small subunit ribosomal RNA", at positions 524 to 776 of the family's 1533-position model. The record is from RNAcentral.
UACGGAGGGUGCGAGCGUUGUCCGGAAUCACUGGGCGUAAAGGGCGCGUAGGCGGCUCGGUAAGCGUGUGGUGAAAGCCUGGGGCUCAACCCCGGGUCGGCCAUGCGAACUGUCGAGCUGGAGCACUGUAGAGGCAGGCGGAAUUCCGGGUGUAGCGGUGGAAUGCGUAGAGAUCCGGAAGAACACCGGUGGCGAAGGCGGGUCUCUGGGCCGAUACUGACGCUGAGGAGCGAAAGCGUGGGGAGCGAACAGG